This is a long non-coding RNA of Capra hircus (goat), 3339 nucleotides long. Lineage: Eukaryota; Metazoa; Chordata; Mammalia; Artiodactyla; Bovidae. The record is from Ensembl.
CGGGCCCCUCUCUGUCGCUCGGGGCCGCCCCACCUCCACCGUGGGUUCCGUGCCUCUGCCGCGUCUUUGCCACAGGGGCCUACGUGGCCGUACGCUGUUGGUACCUCUUCCGUCCCGUCCUCUGAUCCCUGGGGCUGCACCCUGGUACAUCUCGCUUCCCCAGCCCACCUUGGCCCCGCUCUGUUGACCUUUGGGCCUUCUGUCCGCCGAUGUCGCGUGCUGGACCAGGAGGAAGGCCUGUGCCCCUGGCGCCCCUGCCCACCCAUGGUGGUGCGCUCCUCUGAGUGUGCACGGGUCACCUGCUGGCUACAGUGCCUAUACCGCCGCCCGCCAGGGCCGGGGGAUGGAGGUUCUUCCUGAUUUCUGUUUAAGAAUCCUGAUGUGGCAGCUCUUACCAGUGUAGGGUAAGGGAGUUAGAGGCAGCCAGGUUCAGGAAAAGAAGGACACUGGCACUUUAUGGAACAGAUUCACCUUCAAUGAGGCAAGAAGGGGCAGCAGUCAGAUUAGUGAGCUGCUGCACUAACCCAGGAAAAGAGGGGUUUCAUCCAGAAGCGGAGAAGAAAUAGCCCUGAGAUUAAAAAAUUAAGAACCAGCCAGAUGAAGAGACUUCGUUGUUGGCCACAUAAUAGGGUGCACCCUACUGGCUCAACUGAAGAUCUCCCUGAGGACCAGCUGGAGGAGCGAUCCAUUUCAACGUUGGAGGAAGAGGCUCUGCCCUACUCCAUAGCGCAUGAACAAGCCAGUGAACACGUUCCCCAGGAGGACAUGGCGGUGGAACUGUCCCUGGACCGGGCUGCGGAAGAGCCUCUGGACACUGUGGACGAAUCUGGGGAAGCCAAUGAACAUGCUCCCCAGGAGCACCUGGUGUUGGAACCGCCCCAGGCCGAGGCCGAGGAACCACCUCUGCAUCCCCUGGAGGCAGCCAGGGCAGCCAAUGAACACGGUUUCACUGAGGACCUGCCAGUCAACCCAACUUGUGACAGCACCGAAGAGACUCCAUGUGUCUCCAAGGUGGCCCUUUCAGAAUGUGAAAGCGCCUCUCCACAUGACUGCUGCCCUCAGACACCAGAAGAGUACAUGGCGGAUAAUGAAGAUUCAGAGACAGUGAGCAAGAAUACUGAGAUGUCAGACAAUUCUCUAAUCAGCUCUUUGGAGAAUGGCAAAAAUGUCAUCAGUGAUGGUGAAAAAGACCAGCAGGAGCAAGUGGGAACGUGGGGCCUGAGUUGAAAAGGCUCUGAUCUGAAUCCCUGAAGACCUGGACCUGGACCCCAUCCUGGACCCCAGAGGCGGUGGAGCCCACACAGCACCAGGAGCCUCAUCUGGACCAGAUCAGGAGAGGCCUCACUGCUGCUCUCCUGAGGGCCUCGUGUAGUACAGCUUCAGUUGUUUUGUUGUGUAGACUUAGUAUUAGUUUAAUCCACAGUUUUAUCUAUAAUUUCUGUAUGUAUCUGUAUGUUCAAUGUUUAUAGGUAAGGUUUUUCAUUAAAUUUUUAAAACCUAUUUGUUAUUUUUACAAAAUGUUUGUUUGUAAAGCACACAUGUAUAGACUGGCACCCUCAGCAGAGGCAGAACUUAAUGAAUUGUUGUGAGCCAGCAACCCUGGCCUCUGCUACCAGGGUCACGCCCCCUUUCAUUCAACUCAGUCUCAUUGAGAAAGGAACUGCAGAUUUCAUCCUUCCAUCUGUCCAGGGUCACCAGCUUUCUCUGCUUCCUUUAAAUAGUUCCCCUGGCUUGAUUUACUGAAGUGCUUCUGGACUGCUCUUUUCAUUAUUCUGAACAAACUGUCAACAAGAUAGCUGUGCACAUUCCUGGCAGAGGUCUGACUCUCUGGAUUCUGAAAGCAUCAGAAUCUAAUUCAAGAUGCACACGUAGGGUCUCUGUACCAGGGAACCCAUUAAAAGUGUGUUUUGAAACAGAUAGAGCCACAGCGUCAGGCCCUGGCUGAGAUUCAAAGACUACCGGCCAGUCAUCUCCCCUGGGGCCUUGAGAGAACCCUGCUCGUCUGAUGUUGCAAAGGAGGCUGCAGAGACCCACGCUGAGCAGAGCCUGGGGCAGACUCAGGGCUCCUACAGCCUCAGUCAGGGGCCUUUCCGACUUGAUGUUGAUCCCAUGCAGCUGCUCACUACCCAUCCUUUACUUUGUACUUUUUAAAUUAAUUUUUGUUGCAAAAUAGUUACUUUAUAGAGCUGUGUUAGUUUCUACUGUACACAAGAAUGAAUCAGCCAUAUAUGUAUGUGUGGGUAUAUAUAUGUGUGUGUGUAUAUAUAUGUGUGUGUGUGUAUGUGUGUGUAUAUAUAUGUGUGUGUGUGUAUAUAUAUAUAUGUGUGUGUUAGCAAAUCUCAGUGAGUUUAGCUCAUAGUGUGACUGGGCAAGUGAAUCUCAUUAAUCUCUGUUCCUCACUAUUCAACCUAAUGCCAUAUAUGUGUGUGUGUGUGUGUGUGUGCGUGUGUAUAUAUAUAUCUGUGUGUAUAUAUAUAUAUGUCUGUGUGUGUAUAUAUAUAUGUGUGUAUAUAUAUAUAUGUGUGUGUGUGUAUAUAUAUCUGUGUAUAUAUAAAUGUGUGUAUAUGUGUGCGUGUGUGUAUAUAAAUGUGUGUGUGUAUAUAUGUGUGUGUAUAUGUGUGUGUAUAUAUCUGUGUGUGUAUAUAUAUAUGUACAUACAUGAUGUAUGUGUAUAUACACACACAGACACACACACACACACACACACACGUUCAUAGGACGCUGUAUUGAAAUAAACCCAGCUUUACUUAGUUUGCAAUGGAACAUUAUCUCAAAUUUGGCCACAAGAUGUUGAUAUCACAAAACAGGUUCAAAGAAAUAAACUUCUAUUGCAAAGUGCUUGUGUUUCUUUCCAACUUAGGUCUUUAAAUGUAACUAUUCUUGUCAAUCAGUGACUUCUCUUAAAUGAUGUUGUAUUUCUUGAUCUGUUCCACAUCUGUAUAUUUUGGGGGGUUUUGCCCCUCAUAUCUACUACCUCAGAGAAUAUCAAUUAAGUCUAUUGUAUUGAAACCCAUAUGCAAUAAUAGCAAAAUAAGAUUUCAAAACUAGGAAACAAUACACUGCUAUUUGUAUUCAUUAUUGUUGUUGACUUGUUUCUUGUUAUUUAAUAGCGAAGAGAUGUCCUGCUCCUGGAUCAGUGUCAAACAAUGACAAACAGAGCAAGCACUUGGGAACAUAAUAAACUCAGUAAGAAGCUGAAAGGAUAUUUUUGUUCAUUGGGUCAGGUCCUUCUCUUUGCUUACCAUCUGGAUCUCCAUGUGUUGAGAGGUUUGCCUAACCAGCUGAGGCAACAAACAAUGAAGGAACUUCUCCAAGAUACACAGAAAUUGAGAGAAAUUC